GAGAUGGUAAGAAGUGGAGGAUCGGAAGGUGUAGUUGAUGAAGGGAGGGUGGAGGGUCUCCCUAAGCCAUGGGAGUUUUUGCUUAAGUGAACAGGUUUUGUUGGUCUGUUGCAAAUGAUGGGGUCGGAGGGUUCGAGCCGGAGAUUGUGGAGUUGUGGUUCCUCUGAGGGUGGGGGCGCCCAUCCGGGUGGUUCUGGCCGGAACUUUAUGCAUGGCUUCCCUUUGCGGCAGGAAGUUGCUCCCAAGCCCCUGCAUGGACGGGGGCCCACACGUUUAAUUCUACUUUUAUCCAAACGUAUAAUCCAAACAUGCACUAACUCCCCCUGGUAAAUAAAUUUGGAAAUAAAC
RNAcentral lists this long non-coding RNA (348 nucleotides) under Androctonus crassicauda. Lineage: Eukaryota; Metazoa; Arthropoda; Arachnida; Scorpiones; Buthidae. The record is from RNAcentral.